Molecule: ribosomal RNA, 253 nt
Filed under: uncultured bacterium
Lineage: Bacteria
Also listed under: 1 other name
Description: partial 16S ribosomal RNA
Rfam family: Bacterial small subunit ribosomal RNA
Source: RNAcentral
UACGGAGGGUGCAAGCGUUAUCCGGAUUCACUGGGUUUAAAGGGUGCGUAGGUGGGUCUGUAAGUCAGUGGUGAAAUCUCCGAGCUUAACUCGGAAACUGCCAUUGAUACUAUAGGUCUUGAAUUAUCUGGAGGUAAGCGGAAUAUGUCAUGUAGCGGUGAAAUGCUUAGAUAUGACAUAGAACACCAAUUGCGAAGGCAGCUUACUACGGAUAUAUUGACACUGAGGCACGAAAGCGUGGGGAUCAAACAGG